Molecule: RNA transcript, 1123 nt
Organism: Arachis duranensis
Lineage: Eukaryota; Viridiplantae; Streptophyta; Magnoliopsida; Fabales; Fabaceae
Exons: 6
Source: RefSeq, a predicted model, not a curated record
UAGUGUGAGGAUAAUAAAAUCGAAGUGAAUGGUCCAUCCAUCCAUCCAUGGCUGGAAUUGCGUCCUUCUUGACCCCUUGUUCAUCUCUAAACUUGAAACCCCUUCCAUACUCAUUCCAUCUUAAUCCAACAACAAGAAGACCCUUUCAUCAUCUCACAAUCACCAAGGCUCAAGGAGAUAACAACAAUUCCAAUUCUUCAUCUUCAGCUACCUCCAAUGACCAACCCCUUUUCGUCACUGCUCAGGAUGUUCCAUUGGAGGGUGUCAUCCAGUUUGACAAGCCAACCUCCUCUUCUUCUUCUUCCCGUAUUCAAAAAUGGGGGCGUGUGGCUCUGCUAGCUGGUGUGGAUGUAUUGGCCUUACUUGUCUUUGCCACCAUUGGUAGAUACAGUCAUGGAUUAUCUACCAUGGACCUCCAAACCUUGCGAACCGCCGAUCCUUUCAUAGCCGGAUGGUUCCUUGGUGCUUACUUUCUUGGAGGUUAUGGCGAGGAUGGGCGAGGGAUGAAGGGUCUCCCUAGUGGUGUCAUUGCUACUGCUAAGUCAUGGGCAGUUGGGAUCCCUAUAGGAAUAGCAAUAAGGACCGCAACGUCCGGUAAUCUUCCAAACUAUGGCUUCAUAUUUGUCAGUCUGGGAAGCACUGCUGUUUUGCUUAUCACAUUCAGAGCAUUGCUCUAUACUCUUCUUCCUCUCCAAAAUCAAAACAAGGCCGACGACGAUGUCUAUCGCCGUGGCAGUCCUUUCGAACUUUUUGAGCUGCUCACAUCAUUAGUACGGAGGUGGUAGCAAUGCGUUACAUCAGUUUCCUAAGCUAUUCUUCCAUUUUGUUAUGGAUUCGCAUGAAACAAGUUAAGAAUAAUAAACUAAGACUACUCAUUGUGAUGGUUGUGUACUCUUCCAUCGGAUUCAAUGCAAUUGGAAGACCCAAAUGAGGUUCUACCCUCUAAAGCUUUUGGUAUGUUAUGACUUGUUUGGUCUAUUAAAGAGUGGUUUAAAUUUGUCAUAUAUACUGUAGGAAUGGACCCGUUUUACCCCAGCCAAUGGCUAGAAACUCUUAUGUUCUUAUAUAAUAAUAUAUAUGUUAGAUAUACUUUUAUUAAUAUAAUAAUUUAUAAUUAAAAAUA